This 694-nucleotide long non-coding RNA is filed under the name Gallus gallus (chicken). Its description in RNAcentral is "long non-coding RNA NONGGAT008110". The record is from RNAcentral. Lineage: Eukaryota; Metazoa; Chordata; Aves; Galliformes; Phasianidae.
AUACAUUGUUGUGCACCUCCAAAAGAAAACUGGGAGCCAGGCACUGUUGAUCUGCAGUGUGUGAACCUGGAAUGAGGCCAUUGGCGCUGCUCAGGGAAGCAGUGGAGCUCCCAGCCCAUGAGCAUGGAGUUGCCCCACGGACUCUUCCACUGAAAAAGUGUGGAUGAACGGAGACAGCCAGAUAUUCCAGUGCAGACUUCCCUGCGCUACUAAUUUAAGAUUGCUGUUCAGACUGAAAUUUCCAUGUUGGCUCAUGAUGAAUCCAUAGUCUAUAUGCAGUUCUUGAGAGAUAUUUCCGUAUCCUGAAAUAACAGGAGACUUGUGAUGCAUCUCUUCAUGACCCUGCAGUGCUCCACAACUCAUAGGAUGAAGGACUGAUGACACCACAUUGUUGUACAACAGAACAGUCACUGCGCAACAAUCCUUCAUUUAAAGUCAAUACAACUGAACUGAGGAGUUAAUAAGACUUGCACGCUUCCAUGCGAGGUACAAAUAAUUGGCAUAUGUAUUUUUGUAUUUGCAUAAGGACAGCUUGCUUUCUUUGGUGCCUCCCGAAGAGUUGUUGGCAGUGCUCUUAACAGAAGAAAAAAAAAAAAAAGAGUGAAUAGUGACCUCCAGGUGACCCAGCUUUGAACGUCAGUGUGCUGCAGACCCAGAGCACAGUUUUCUUCCUCCAGAAUAAGCUUUAGUAUAA